This 515-nucleotide ribosomal RNA is filed under the name uncultured bacterium. RNAcentral describes it as "partial 16S ribosomal RNA". It matches the Rfam family "Bacterial small subunit ribosomal RNA", at positions 28 to 523 of the family's 1533-position model. The record is from RNAcentral.
GAUGAACGCUGGCGGCGUGCCUAAUACAUGCAAGUCGAGCGAAUGGAUUAAGAGCUUGCUCUUAUGAAGUUAGCGGCGGACGGGUGAGUAACACGUGGGUAACCUGCCCAUAAGACUGGGAUAACUCCGGGAAACUGGGGCUAAUACCGGAUAACAUUUUGAACCGCAUGGUUCGAAAUUGAAAGGCGGCUUCGGCUGUCACUUAUGGAUGGACCCGCGUCGCAUUAGCUAGUUGGUGAGGUAACGGCUCACCAAGGCAACGAUGCGUAGCCGACCUGAGAGGGUGAUCGGCCACACUGGGACUGAGACACGGCCCAGACUCCUACGGGAGGCAGCAGUAGGGAAUCUUCCGCAAUGGACGAAAGUCUGACGGAGCAACGCCGCGUGAGUGAUGAAGGCUUUCGGGUCGUAAAACUCUGUUGUUAGGGAAGAACAAGUGCUAGUUGAAUAAGCUGGCACCUUGACGGUACCUAACCAGAAAGCCACGGCUAACUACGUGCCAGCCGCCGCGGUAA